AGAGUUUGAUCCUGGCUCAGAUUGAACGCUGGCGGCAUGCCUUACACAUGCAAGUCGAACGGCAGCGGGGACUUCGGUCCGCCGGCGAGUGGCGAACGGGUGAGUAAAGCAUCGGAACGUGCCCUGAAGUGGGGGAUAACGUAGCGAAAGUUACGCUAAUACCGCAUAUUCUGUGAGCAGGAAAGCAGGGGAUCUUCGGACCUUGUGCUUUAGGAGCGGCCGAUGUCGGAUUAGCUAGUUGGUGAGGUAAAGGCUCACCAAGGCGACGAUCCGUAGCGGGUCUGAGAGGAUGAUCCGCCACACUGGGACUGAGACACGGCCCAGACUCCUACGGGAGGCAGCAGUGGGGAAUUUUGGACAAUGGGCGCAAGCCUGAUCCAGCCAUGCCGCGUGAGUGAAGAAGGCCUUCGGGUUGUAAAGCUCUUUCGGCGGGGAAGAAAUUGCUUCGGCUAAUAACCGGAGUAGAUGACGGUACCCGCAUAAGAAGCACCGGCUAACUACGUGCCAGCAGCCGCGGUAAUACGUAGGGUGCGAGCGUUAAUCGGAAUUACUGGGCGUAAAGCGUGCGCAGGCGGUUGUGUAAGUCAGAUGUGAAAUCCCCGGGCUCAACCUGGGAACUGCAUUUGAGACUGCACGGCUAGAGUGUAGCAGAGGGGGGUAGAAUUCCACGUGUAGCAGUGAAAUGCGUAGAGAUGUGGAGGAACACCGAUGGCGAAGGCAGCCCCCUGGGUUGACACUGACGCUCAUGCACGAAAGCGUGGGUAGCAAACAGGAUUAGAUACCCUGGUAGUCG
This 793-nucleotide ribosomal RNA is filed under the name uncultured bacterium. RNAcentral's name for it is "bacterial SSU rRNA". It matches the Rfam family "Bacterial small subunit ribosomal RNA", at positions 8 to 796 of the family's 1533-position model. The record is from RNAcentral.